GGAGUCAGUAACGCCCGAAGUCAGUGACCUAACUGCAAAGAAGGAGCUGCCGAAGGCGGGACCGAUGACUGGGGUGAAGUCGUAACAAGGUAGCCGUAUCGGAAGGUGCGGCUGGAUCACCUCCUUUCUAAGGAA
This 135-nucleotide ribosomal RNA is filed under the name Blautia obeum. RNAcentral describes it as "partial 16S ribosomal RNA". It matches the Rfam family "Bacterial small subunit ribosomal RNA", at positions 1407 to 1533 of the family's 1533-position model. The record is from RNAcentral. Lineage: Bacteria; Bacillati; Bacillota; Clostridia; Lachnospirales; Lachnospiraceae.